This 468-nucleotide ribosomal RNA is filed under the name uncultured bacterium. Its description in RNAcentral is "partial 16S ribosomal RNA". It matches the Rfam family "Bacterial small subunit ribosomal RNA", at positions 28 to 507 of the family's 1533-position model. The record is from RNAcentral.
GACGAACGCUGGCGGCGUGCUUAACACAUGCAAGUCGAACGGAAAGGCCCUGCUUUUGUGGGGUGCUCGAGUGGCGAACGGGUGAGUAACACGUGAGUAACCUGCCCUUGACUUUGGGAUAACUUCAGGAAACUGGGGCUAAUACCGGAUAGGAGCUCCUGCUGCAUGGUGGGGGAUGGAAAGUUUCGGCGGUUGGGGAUGGACUCGCGGCUUAUCAGCUUGUUGGUGGGGUAGUGGCUUACCAAGGCUUUGACGGGUAGCCGGCCUGAGAGGGUGACCGGCCACAUUGGGACUGAGGUACGGCCCAGACUCCUACGGGAGGCAGCAGUGGGGAAUAUUGCACAAUGGGCGGAAGCCUGAUGCAGCAACGCCGCGUGCGGGAUGACGGCCUUCGGGUUGUAAACCGCUUUCGCCUGUGACGAAGCGUGAGUGACGGUAAUGGGUAAAGAAGCACCGGCUAACUACGUG